GUUACUCUUUUCUGCACAGACAAAGGAACAGAAGAAGUGUGUGUAUACAAGGAACAGGUGUACAAAGUUGGAGCCAGCUUCAAGGACAGAUGCAACACUUGCUUCUGUGACACCAAGAACAGAGUUUCGUGCACCAAAGUGCUGUGUCCAACAACCAAUGAGGACAUCGCAAAAUUGAGACUCCACCUCACAAAUGAGAAAAUAGUGACGCUAUCAGCACCAAAGAAAGACUAACAAUUUUGAGGGGUUACUUACCAUGUCAGAGACAAAGGGGACAGGUCCCUUUAGCCUAUGAUAAUAACACAUUUUCAUUCCAAACUAA
Octopus sinensis (East Asian common octopus) is the source of this 322-nucleotide RNA transcript. RefSeq lists it as uncharacterized. The record is from RefSeq and is a predicted model, not a curated record. The transcript is spliced from 2 exons. Lineage: Eukaryota; Metazoa; Mollusca; Cephalopoda; Octopoda; Octopodidae.